ACCAAAUGUAGGCAUAGUACUAGAGCCGAUUUACGCAAUCGAAUACCGCCGGAAGUAGAACAUUUAUGUCAACACCGGUUUCGUAUUUUCACGUGAAAACGGCCGAAAACUGAGAGGUUAUCAACAAAUUAUAAGUUUACGGGUACCAUGAGGAUUUUUCAUGCAUUUAAACGAAAGAAGUACAAGCGAACAGAUGACACAUUAAAGUGGCAGCAGAAGCUUGAAAAGUUAAAUAGAGCAGGGGCAGUCAAAACAGUGGGAUAAUGCUUCUAUAGGGUCCAACAUGUCUAGUAAGGCUGACAGAAGUGAAAGAUGGUCUGAUGGUACAAUGAUGUACAAAUGAUACUCUUUAACAAGUUGAACAUGUCAAGGUGUAAAAUGUUCUGUGGAUUCAUAUGAUGAGAAUGCCAGUGUUGAUCUGUAUGACUUAAUUAAACACAGAUAUUGAUACCUUCAGAUAUAUACCUGUGAAAUCUUCAGUGUCACCGUUCAGCUAUUGUUCAAGAUCAGUGUCUGCAGCUUGCACAGUUUAGUAUAGAGGAGCCUUCUGAAUCAACUUUGUUACAUAUUUGCUGUUAUUGUAGGACACGCAUGUAGAGAGCAGCAAGUCCUGUUCAGCCGUGCAUGUAAAUGUGAUUCAGAAACUUUGAGAAUAUGUAAACAUUACACUGUUAUAAUUUUCAAAAUACUGUGUCUUGUAGUGUAUCAGUACUGUUUUGUCUCAGUUUAUAGCACAGUAUGUUCACAAAUCAAACAUAAGACCAUAGUGAUCAGUAUUAUUAAAAUCAUUAAUUAUUUGUAUGGUGACAAAAUUUAUUUUCAUGCAAUACCACAAUAAAAUGAUUGAUAAUUUUCGCUUUUAAAGUUGUAAGUUUAAGGUUGGCAUAAAUUGUUUUUUUUUUCUUUCAUAAAUCUAAAAAGUGAUUGGUCAUUAUAACUGCAAUAUUAUUUUAGUAUGACAAAGUUUAUAUUGAACUAAAACACUUAUGUAAAUUUUUGAACUAAUCAAUACAUUUUCUUCAGUCUUAAAACAUUUGUUUAUCGUACGUGUCAUGGCCCAUAACUCCUCCAUAUUACUUGUGUUUUUGUACUUGUCCUUUUUCAUUUCACUGAAGAAUAGGUAGAGGUAUUGCACAUCCAUUUUUUAGCAUCCUAAUUUUGUAAAGUGUUGUAUGUAAGGUUUUCUCUCGGAAUUAUGUCUCAUCUAAAGGUGGGGAGAGGUAUUAAUUAUGCCUUCUCGUCUAUCCGCAUUAAGCCUGUCUGGCUUAAAGAGGACAAGCUGCUGGCCAGAUUUUGAUGAAAUUUCACAGGACUGAUCAGUACCAAGCAUAGUGUUGGCAUAUCGCUUGCAUGUUUCGUUUUGAUGCACUAAAUUGCAGCCAUAGCUAAAAAUAGAAAAAUCUUGUCGGCUUUCACAGGUUAAAACUACUUAACAGAUUUUGAUGAAACUUCACAGGAGUGAUCAGUACCAAGUAUUUUUUGCAUAUCACCAACACUUUCCAUUUUGCUGCACAAAAUAGCCGCCACAGCUAAA
Molecule: long non-coding RNA, 1534 nt
Organism: Mercenaria mercenaria
Lineage: Eukaryota; Metazoa; Mollusca; Bivalvia; Venerida; Veneridae
Exons: 5
Source: RefSeq, a predicted model, not a curated record